Long non-coding RNA from Lucilia sericata (common green bottle fly), 652 nucleotides. RefSeq lists it as uncharacterized. The record is from RefSeq and is a predicted model, not a curated record. Lineage: Eukaryota; Metazoa; Arthropoda; Insecta; Diptera; Calliphoridae. The transcript has 3 exons.
UUUUAAUUUUUGCUGACCACAAAUAACUGUAAAUUUAAAGUGCAAAGAGAGACAAGAAAAAUCAAUCACCAAUUUUAUUUGUAUUGUAACUUCAGUGAAUUAAAGUGCAUGUGUUUCUAGUUAAAACAGAUAUCCAUAUUUAAAAAAAAAAAAAAAAAAAACAAUUUGUAUACAUAUUAAUAAAACAUUGUGUAUUAAUAAUUAAAUAAAAUUCAAUAAUUAAAAAAAUCUGCAAUUGUAAAAUUAUAGUGAAUAUAAUAGUUGCAUAUUGUUUUCCAAAGGCGUAUCAUAAUAAUAAAGGCAAAUUGAAAAUGUUCCAAACUGAUCAAACAUCUUCUAGUAAAGUUCUGGAUGCCAACCAAAAAUUCGCCCCUGAAGACAACGCUGGAAUUUGUUUACAAAGUUUAAAAGUCGAAAAUUUUAAGGCAACAUAGUCUGCUUGUGUAAAAUUUCAUAUAAACCAAAUGCAUUCUGAAUGCAAAAAUAUUAAGAAAGCUGCUACACAAUGGCCACAGUACAGAGGAUCGAUUGAUUCAUAAUUGAUUGAUUGGGAUUUUAAAAUCAUACAACGAUACUACACAACGAUCACAAAAUGUGAUCCCCAGCAAUUCAAUUAUUUUCCUGGAAUAUUUUAAUAAUAUUUUCUAUUUAU